RNAcentral lists this ribosomal RNA (346 nucleotides) under uncultured bacterium. Its description in RNAcentral is "partial 16S ribosomal RNA". It matches the Rfam family "Bacterial small subunit ribosomal RNA", at positions 338 to 681 of the family's 1533-position model. The record is from RNAcentral.
CCUACGGGAGGCAGCAGUGAGGAAUAUUGGUCAAUGGACGGAAGUCUGAACCAGCCAUGCCGCGUGCAGGAAGACGGCUCUAUGAGUUGUAAACUGCUUUUGUACAAGGGUAAACCUGAAUACGUGUAUGCAGCUGAAAGUACUGUACGAAUAAGGAUCGGCUAACUCCGUGCCAGCAGCCGCGGUAAUACGGAGGAUCCAAGCGUUAUCCGGAUUUAUUGGGUGUAAAGGGUGCAUAGGCGGAUUGAUAAGUUAGAGGUGAAAUGUCCGAGCUUAACUCGGGAACUGCCUCUAAUACUGUUGAUCUCGAGCGUAGAUGCGGUAGGCGUAAUGUAUGGUGUCGCGG